Molecule: non-coding RNA, 99 nt
Organism: Acanthosepion pharaonis
Lineage: Eukaryota; Metazoa; Mollusca; Cephalopoda; Sepiida; Sepiidae
Source: the annotation of a GenBank genome assembly
CGUUAAAACACCGCUUCUCGUACGACCAUUGAAGUUAAGCAAUCUCGAGCCUGGUCAGUACCUACAUGGGUGAUUGCUUGGGAAUAACAGUUGCUGUAA